UAAGGAGUCUUCCACAAUGGGCGCAAGCCUGAUGGAGCAACACCGCGUGAGUGAAGAAGGGUUUCGGCUCGUAAAGCUCUGUUGUUAAAGAAGAACACGUAUGAGAGUAACUGUUCAUACGUUGACGGUAUUUAACCAGAAAGUCACGGCUAACUACGUGCCAG
This 164-nucleotide ribosomal RNA is filed under the name uncultured bacterium. Its description in RNAcentral is "partial 16S rRNA". It matches the Rfam family "Bacterial small subunit ribosomal RNA", at positions 355 to 511 of the family's 1533-position model. The record is from RNAcentral.